This 500-nucleotide ribosomal RNA is filed under the name uncultured Chloroflexota bacterium. RNAcentral describes it as "bacterial SSU rRNA". It matches the Rfam family "Bacterial small subunit ribosomal RNA", at positions 381 to 896 of the family's 1533-position model. The record is from RNAcentral. Lineage: Bacteria; Bacillati; Chloroflexota.
GUCUGAGGCAGCAACGCCGCGUGCGCGAUGAAGGCCUUCGGGUCGUAAAGCGCUUUUCGGGAGGAUGAGGAAGGACAGUACUCCCGGAAUAAGGAACGGCUAACUACGUGCCAGCAGCCGCGGUAAAACGUAGGUUCCGAGCGUUAUCCGGAUUUACUGGGCGUAAAGCGUGUUCAGGCGGCUGGACAAGUCGGGCAUGAAAUCUCUCGGCUCAACCGGGAGAGGCUGUCCGAAACUGUUCGGCUGGAGGGCAGUAGAGGGUGGUGGAAUUCCGGGUGUAGUGGUGAAAUGCGUAGAUAUCCGGAGGAACACCAGUGGCGAAAGCGGCCACCUGGACUGUACCUGACGCUCAAACACGAAAGCUAGGGGAGCGAACGGGAUUAGAAACCCCGGUAGUCCUAGCCAUAAACGAUGUUGACUAGGUGUCAGCGGUCUCAACCCCGUUGGUGCCGGAGCAAACGCACUAAGUCAACCGCCUGGGGACUACGGCCGCAAGGUUA